AACGGUUUAUUGUCUGCCCAACGGAGAAGUGCUUCGUGCUCUUCCGAUGGGAUAACGAUCUCGAAAUGAAUCGCUAAUACCUGUAAGAAAGACCUCGCGCCGUUCAAGCAUCGGAGGGAUUUCCCCCCUUCGGUGUGGUGUGGGGUGCAAUUCGCCGGAACAAAAAUCAACGUCCUCUGGACAGUUGACAUUGUUGACGCAGGCGAAUGUUGCGAAAGCUCCUUUUCAGGAGCGAUGUUGGAUGAAUUUACCACCUAUCAGGUUGAAGGUAGUAUAGUUGACUACCUUGCCAGUGACGGGUAACGGAGAAUUGGGGUUCGAUUCCGGAGAGGGUGCCUGAGAAACGGCAACCAUCACUACGGUGAGCAGCAGGCGCGCAAAUUGCCCAAUGCUAAUCCUAGCGAGGCAGCGACGAAAAAUAAUAACUCUGUUACACUUGUUGUAUCAGAGAUUGUGAUGGAUUGUAUCCAACACACACUGCUGAGUAUCAAUUGGAUGGCAAGUCUGGUGCCAGCAGCCGCGGUAAUUCCAGCUCCAAGAGCGUAUAUAAAUGUUGUUGCGGUUAAAAGCCCGUAGUUGGAUUUGAGGACAUGACCUGUGUUUGCGCCCCUUGAGCUGGUUCGUCCAACUCUUGGGAUCUCGGAAACGCAUUACGGUGAUGUUCUAUUUGCACGCGGGAAUGGUUGUCGGUCCUCUGCCUUCACUGGUUAGCGGACAAAUACGGAGUCAUCACACUCCAUAAGACACGCCCGCGGCUGUCACUGUGAGUAAAACAGAGUGUUCAAGGCAACCGAAUCGCUCGGUUGAAUGUUAAAGCAUGGAAUGACAAGGGAUCGACCACUGUGUGGCCUCUUUUUGUUGGUUUUCAAGCCUCAGUGCGGUAAACUUGUGCAGGGAGACCUGUUUGGCUGUGUCUUUCGGGGCCACUAGACAAGCCCUCGCACACACGGGAUCAACAGGAGCACAGGGGGUCAUGAGUACUGGAGGGUGAGUGGUGAAAUACUGAGACCCCUCCAAGACUGACAUCAGCGAAAGCACUUGACUAUUGUGCUUUCAUUAAUCAAGGACGAGAGAUAGGGGAUUGAAGAGGAUUAGACACCCUCGUAGUCCUUUCCUUAAACUCUGCAAACUUGGGAUCGGUCAGCGCUCUCUCUCCUGACCCGAUCGGCACCUCCCCCUUUUAUCGAGAAAUCAAAGUCUUUGUGUUCCGGGGGGAGUACAUUCGCAAGGCUGAAACUUAAAGGAAUUGACGGAGAACCACCACCAGUCGUGGAUUGUGUGGCUUAAUUCGACCCAACACGGGAAAUUUUAGCUAUAUAGGACAUGGGCAGGAUUGCCAAGCUGAAGUCUUUGCUUGAUUCCAUGAAGGGUGGUGCAUGGCCGCUUCUGGUUGGUGAACGUGAUUUGUCUGCUUAAUUGCGAUAACGAACGAGAUCUCUGCCAAUUACUAGAUGCUGCUUUCGCUGUAGGUUGGUGGAGUAAGCUUGGUUUCGGCCUUGUUUGCUUCAUCGCCGAGAAGGCAGAGCUUUUACUUAUUGGGAUUAUGC
RNAcentral lists this ribosomal RNA (1547 nucleotides) under metagenome. Its description in RNAcentral is "SSU rRNA". It matches the Rfam family "Eukaryotic small subunit ribosomal RNA", at positions 104 to 1425 of the family's 1831-position model. The record is from RNAcentral.